This 75-nucleotide transfer RNA is filed under the name Phelsuma rosagularis. RNAcentral's name for it is "tRNA-Asn". Lineage: Eukaryota; Metazoa; Chordata; Lepidosauria; Squamata; Gekkonidae. The record is from RNAcentral.
ACUAGAUUGACGGGCCUUGUGCCGGCUAAAAUAUUAAUUAACAACUAACCACCCUAUUCAGCGGGCUUCUAUCUA